CCUAUAGUAUUGAAGCAAUGCUGAUGACAGGAGUUGGACUCUUGACACUCGUUAACAUCUGUUGAACAAUACAAAACCUUGAUACCAUAGCUCUGAACUGUUGUCGUCAUUUACCUGAACUGUGCAGUGUUUCGGUUGAGUCAACCAAUGUUCUGGACUCUGCUUGGAGCUCUAGUUACUACACUAUGGAGGCUCAGCAGAUACUGUGGCUCUGGUCUGACUAGUAGCUGAGUACUGAUGAAAAGCUGUCUGGGCACUACUUCUAUUCUAGAAGUCAAAAUGAAUUCCAGCUUCUCAGAAAAAUUAAUCUGUCAUGAAGAUCUCUGGUGAUUAACAGUUCACCGUUAGGGCACUUAAGCUAAGGCACAUGAAAAGUAUCGAUUCAUUACAGAAAUACCUGGACA
Molecule: long non-coding RNA, 404 nt
Organism: Falco peregrinus (peregrine falcon)
Lineage: Eukaryota; Metazoa; Chordata; Aves; Falconiformes; Falconidae
Exons: 3
Source: RefSeq, a predicted model, not a curated record